UACGGAGGGUGCUAGCGUUGUUCGGAAUUACUGGGCGUAAAGCGCGCGUAGGCGGACCUGCAAGUCGGGGGUGAAAGCCCGAGGCUCAACCUCGGAACUGCCUUCGAUACUGCGGGUCUCGAGUCCGAGAGGGGUGAGUGGAAUUCCUAGUGUAGAGGUGAAAUUCGUAGAUAUUAGGAAGAACACCAGUGGCGAAGGCGGAUCACUGGCUCGGUACUGACGCUGAGGCGCGAAAGCGUGGGGAGCAAACAGG
RNAcentral lists this ribosomal RNA (253 nucleotides) under uncultured bacterium. RNAcentral describes it as "partial 16S ribosomal RNA". It matches the Rfam family "Bacterial small subunit ribosomal RNA", at positions 524 to 776 of the family's 1533-position model. The record is from RNAcentral.